This 508-nucleotide ribosomal RNA is filed under the name uncultured bacterium. RNAcentral's name for it is "bacterial SSU rRNA". It matches the Rfam family "Bacterial small subunit ribosomal RNA", at positions 15 to 518 of the family's 1533-position model. The record is from RNAcentral.
GAUCAUGGCUCAGGAUGAACGCUAGCGGCAGGCUAACACAUGCAAGUCGAGGGGCAGCGUGGAGUAGCAAUACUCUGACGGCGACCGGCGAAAGGGUGAGUAACGCGUGAGCAACAUGCCCGUAGUUGGGGGAUAGUCGAUGGAAACGUCGCGUAAUACCCCGUAACAACAGAGGCCGCAUGACCUUUGUUUAAGAGAUUUAUUGUCUACGGAUUGGCUCGCGUACCAUUAGCUAGUUGGCGGGGUAACGGCCCACCAAGGCGACGAUGGUUAGGGGUUCUGAGAGGAAGGUCCCCCACAUUGGAACUGAGACACGGUCCAGACUCCUACGGGAGGCAGCAGUGAGGAAUAUUGGUCAAUGGCCGAGAGGCUGAACCAGCCAUGCCGCGUGCGGGAUGACGGCCCUAUGGGUUGUAAACCGCUUUUGUUGGGGAGCAAUAAGGUUCACGUGUGGACUGAUGAGAGUACCCAGCGAAUAAGCAUCGGCUAACUCCGUGCCAGCCGCAGC